Molecule: ribosomal RNA, 263 nt
Filed under: uncultured bacterium
Lineage: Bacteria
Description: partial 16S ribosomal RNA
Rfam family: Bacterial small subunit ribosomal RNA
Source: RNAcentral
GACGAACGCUGGCGGCGUGCUUAACACAUGCAAGUCGAGCGGUAAGGCCCUUCGGGGUACGACGAGCGGCGAACGGGUGAGUAACACGUGGGUGACCUGCCUCUAGCUCUGGGAUAAGCCUGGGAAACUGGGUCUAAUACCGGAUAUGACUCCACGGCGCAUGUUGUGGGGUGGAAAGCCUUGUGUGGCUAGAGAUGGGCCCGCGGCCUAUCAGCUUGUUGGUGGGGUGAUGGCCUACCAAGGCGACGACGGGUAGCCGGCCU